UUUUGGACCCUGGGACUGUUUUGAACGAUUUUUCUGAAACAUUCGCACUCCAAAUACAUUUGUCAACAAAAACAGGAGAGGGAAAGAAAGGAAGGGAAGAAAGUUUGAAAAAAAGCCCUCAUGUAUUCAUUUAAAAUCAAACCAUCAUCCCUUUUAAAGCUGCCUUUUCCUGGUACGAACAUCAGCCUGAUCCAAAGGGUAUUAACUCAAGAGAGUGUGUGAGGAUGCCCUGAGGAGUGACCACCUGAUUGCAGACAUGGCAGACAACAAGACAAAAAUCCUCCAGAGCUGGGAACUGGCUGUAGAUGAGCAUCCCUGGGAAGACGGGAGGAGUAGAGAACAUGUUUCAUGACUUUGAAGAACUGUGGGUACAUGCAGCAGAGUUUCACUAUACCUCUACAGCUGCUGCAUGCUGUAACCACAGACAUGGCAGUUCAAACCAUAGUGAAAAUAAAUGAUCUUUAAUGA
Notolabrus celidotus (New Zealand spotty) is the source of this 468-nucleotide long non-coding RNA. RefSeq lists it as uncharacterized. The transcript has 2 exons. NCBI's taxonomy places the organism in Eukaryota, Metazoa, Chordata, Actinopteri, Labriformes, Labridae. The record is from RefSeq and is a predicted model, not a curated record.